GACGAACGCUGGCGGCGUGCUUAACACAUGCAAGUCGAACGGAAAGGCCCUGCUUUUGUGGGGUGCUCGAGUGGCGAACGGGUGAGUAACACGUGAGUAACCUGCCCUUAACUUUGGGAUAACUUCAGGAAACUGGGGCUAAUACCGGAUAGGAGCUCCUGCUGCAUGGUGGGGGUUGGAAAGUUUCGGCGGUUGGGGAUGGACUCGCGGCUUAUCAGCUUGUUGGUGGGGUAGUGGCUUACCAAGGCUUUGACGGGUAGCCGGCCUGAGAGGGUGACCGGCCACAUUGGGACUGAGAUACGGCCCAGACUCCUACGGGAGGCAGCAGUGGGGAAUAUUGCACAAUGGGCGGAAGCCCGAUGCAGCAACGCCGCGUGCGGGAUGACGGCCUUCGGGUUGUAAACCGCUUUCGCCUGUGACGAAGCGUGAGUGACGGUAAUGGGUAAAGAAGCACCGGCUAACUACGUG
RNAcentral lists this ribosomal RNA (468 nucleotides) under uncultured bacterium. RNAcentral's name for it is "partial 16S ribosomal RNA". It matches the Rfam family "Bacterial small subunit ribosomal RNA", at positions 28 to 507 of the family's 1533-position model. The record is from RNAcentral.